This 596-nucleotide ribosomal RNA is filed under the name uncultured bacterium. RNAcentral's name for it is "bacterial SSU rRNA". It matches the Rfam family "Bacterial small subunit ribosomal RNA", at positions 338 to 946 of the family's 1533-position model. The record is from RNAcentral.
CCUACGGGAGGCAGCAGUGGGGAAUAUUGCACAAUGGACGAAAGCCUGAUGCAGCGACGCCGCGUGAGGGAUGACGGCCUUCGGGUUGUAAACCUCUUUCAGCAGGGAAGAAGCGAAAGUGACGGUACCUGCAGAAGAAGCGCCGGCUAACUACGUGCCAGCAGCCGCGGUAAUACGUAGGGCGCAAGCGUUGUCCGGAAUUAUUGGGCGUAAAGAGCUCGUAGGCGGCUUGUCACGUCGGGUGUGAAAGCCCGGGGCUUAACCCCGGGUCUGCAUUCGAUACGGGCUAGCUAGAGUGUGGUAGGGGAGAUCGGAAUUCCUGGUGUAGCGGUGAAAUGCGCAGAUAUCAGGAGGAACACCGGUGGCGAAGGCGGAUCUCUGGGCCAUUACUGACGCUGAGGAGCGAAAGCGUGGGGAGCGAACAGGAUUAGAUACCCUGGUAGUCCACGCCGUAAACGGUGGGAACUAGGUGUUGGCGACAUUCCACGUCGUCGGUGCCGCAGCUAACGCAUAAGUUCCCGCCUGGGAGUACGGCGCAAGGCAAAACGUUAAAGGAAUUGAACGGCUGAGACGUGCGAGACGACGACGAGGAGAGG